This 441-nucleotide ribosomal RNA is filed under the name uncultured bacterium. Its description in RNAcentral is "partial 16S ribosomal RNA". It matches the Rfam family "Bacterial small subunit ribosomal RNA", at positions 338 to 795 of the family's 1533-position model. The record is from RNAcentral.
CCUACGGGAGGCAGCAGUGAGGAAUAUUGCACAAUGGGGGGAACCCUGAUGCAGCGACGCCGCGUGAGCGAGGAAGUAUUUCGGUAUGUAAAGCUCUAUCAGCAGGGACGAAAAAUGACGGUACCUGAUUAAGAAGCCCCGGCUAACUACGUGCCAGCAGCCGCGGGAAUACGUAGGGGGCAAGCGUUAUCCGGAUUUACUGGGUGUAAAGGGAGCGUAGACGGCAGCGCAAGUCUGAAGUUAAAUGCCGGGGCUUAACCCCGGAACUGCUUUGGAAACUGUGCAGCUAGAGUGCAGGAGAGGUAAGUGGAAUUCCUAGUGUAGCGGUGAAAUGCGUAGAUAUUAGGAGGAACACCAGUGGCGAAGGCGGCUUACUGGACUGUAACUGACGUUGAGGCUCGAAAGCGUGGGGAGCAAACAGGAUUAGAUACCCCUGUAGUC